AAUCAACGCUGGCGGCGUGCCUCAGACAUGCAAGUCGAACGCGAAAGUCCCCUUCGGGGGGCAAGUAGAGUGGCGCACGGGUGAGUAACACGUAGGUAAUCUACCUUCGGAUGGGGAAUAACAAUCGGAAACGGUUGCUAAUACCGCAUAAUGCAGCGGCACCUAAUGGUGACAGUUGUUAAAGCGGGGGAUCGAAAGACCUCGCGUCUGAAGAGGAGCCUGCGGCGGAUUAGCAGUUGGUAAGGUAACGGCUUACCAAGGCAACGAUCCGUAGCCGGCCUGAGAGGGCGGUCGGCCACACUGACACUGACAUACGGGUCAGACUCCUACGGGAGGCAGCAGUCGGGAAUUUGGGCAAUGGGCGAAAGCCUGACCCAGCAACGCCGCGUGAAGGAUGAAA
RNAcentral lists this ribosomal RNA (400 nucleotides) under uncultured bacterium. RNAcentral's name for it is "bacterial SSU rRNA". It matches the Rfam family "Bacterial small subunit ribosomal RNA", at positions 32 to 413 of the family's 1533-position model. The record is from RNAcentral.